This is a small nucleolar RNA of Octodon degus (degu), 102 nucleotides long. RefSeq annotates it as small nucleolar RNA U13. The record is from RefSeq and is a predicted model, not a curated record. Lineage: Eukaryota; Metazoa; Chordata; Mammalia; Rodentia; Octodontidae. The transcript has a single exon.
AUCCUUUGGUUCAUAAGCAUGAUGAUUGGGUGUUCAUGCUGUAUGCUUGAGAUGCCCCUCCCUCAAGCCUUGUUACCAUGUGGGCACAUUACCCAUCUGACG